UCCAUUUUGAACUCUUUUUGGCCAGGACUGUGGCCCCUGGCGACUCUGCCCACUUUAAGCCUGGCCUGAGCUGGGCCCACAGAACAGCUGCAGUGUCAGCAGCGUGUCCCCCUCUGGGCUGCUGGGCUGCAGUGCAGAGGGCAGCAUGCCUGGCGUGGGGCACACAGCAGCUCUGUGCCCUGGGCCCCUCUCACCUGGCACUCAUCUGAGGGGGGCAGAGCCCUGCCGGAGGCUGCCCAGCUGCUGUCUCUGUGUGGGGUUCCAGUCCAGCUCUCUCCUGCUUCUGUCUGCGCUGUCCAUGAUGGCGCUCCUUUGCGUAGCCCCCGUGCAGGGCAACGGGGCCCUGGCCCACAAGAAGGUCGAGAAGGGGUUCCCCAAAGACUGCAGCAACAUUCCCAGGGACAGCCCCAGCGGGGUCCAUGUCAUCCAGCCGGCAGGCUCUCCCCCCUCGAGUGGUGUGGUGUGACAUGGACACGGAAGGCAAAGGCUGGACCGUUGUCCAGAGAAAUUCUUACAACACAGAGAUCACCUGGCGUCCUGGAGCACCUACAAGUACGGCUUUGGGAAUGUGCAGCAGGAUUACUGGCUGGUCAACAAGUACCUGUCCCUGCUCACGCGGCAGAACACCUACAAGGUCCGCUUUGUGGUGGAGGACAAAUCCAACAACACCCGCUACGCAGAGUACGACAUCUUCAGUGUCGAGGAUGAGCCCAGCGGGUACCCUCUGAGGCUGGGCAGGUACUCUGGGGACGGCGAGGACUAUCUCACCACCUACCACUCCGGCCUGGGGGCAUACACGACAACAUGAAGUUCAGCACGACUGACAAGGAUCAGGACCAGGCUAGUGGGAAUUGCGCAAGUAGCUAUGGAGGCUGGUGGUACGACAAGUGUCAGAAAGUCCUGCUCAAUGGGAAAGGCUACAUCUACUGGGCAGGGUUCUGUAAGAGUGGGGAGUGCAAGUCUUCCCUCAUCCUGGUUAAGCCAACAGACGUGUGCUGGGUCUGGCAGGAGGAGCCCAUCCUCCUUGGGAGCCGGCGCCGCUGAGACAAUAUUAGAUCAGACACGGCGUGCCAUCCCCCACCUAAUCAGUGUAGUCCCUGCAAUGCCUCCACUCUGCUCACCCCAUUCCCUGUUGGCUUCUGCACGGUAAAUCCCCUGGAAUAAAUGCAGAGAGCCGACCCCGCCGGUGCGUUCGAAUGACACGAAGAGUGUGAUUGGUGUGUAUAACUGGACCCCCGCUUCCACUCUGCCUCGCUGGAAGCCAUGUCACUCACUACGACUUUAGACCCACAUUAACCUCUGCUUCUCCCAGCCCUGCCACUGCCCCUUGGUAUUAGUGAUCAAUGAAUCAUGACACUGGAUUUCUAGCAACUGUCAUUGAGCAUUUAAAUGGGGGAUGACUCAAAGCCAGGACUUUACAUCUGAAUCCUGCAUGUAUUAGCAGUGGUGAGUUUGGGUUCAAAAACCUGCCCUCUGUGUUUUUAAUAAAUAUGGUUAUUACAUGAGAAAACAUUGCAACAGUAAUUAGUUGCUGAUGAACCACUGAGAUUAGAUAGACGUGCAACGAAACCGCACAAUAAAGAUAUUGGUGUCCCUCUUCAACCCAAGGCGCUAGUCAAAGUUUGGGGCCCUGGGGAUGUUCCAGUGGGGAGCAGAAAUUGGCAGUGGAGUCUGGUAAUUUUUUGAUGUCUUGUUUAUUGACAAGGAACAUACAGAGUCCUGCUUCUCCAAACACAGCAGGAACCAACAGCAGAGAUUAGCCUCCCUGCUCUCAGCUCCAAGCCUCUUUAGCCAGCACCUAGCCCAAAAGCUCUCUAUGCUCCUCCCAAGAUCACACCAUGCUCACAGGCUCUGCUCGGCUUUCCUGCUCUGCCUCCGUGUCCUGGGUGCACUGCCCGGCUUGUCUCUUUCACACACGCACCAGCUCAGAACGACACUCGGUGGCAUCCUCUGCCCACCUGGGGCUAGUUUCUGGGCACACGCCAUCAUGGCUUGUUCUACACGAGGCCCCCUUACCAGUUGCUUCCAGCUGUCUUAAAUGAAGAGUGCAUCCUCACAGCUGUGUCAAUGAGAUUUUAACUCCACCCAUCACAAGGUAUAAUCCAGCUCCUAGCAGUGUAUUUAUCUGUCAGGCUGAUGUCCUCUGAGCAUCUCUGAGCAUUUCCUGCCUGUUUGGCUUCAGUCUUCACUUCAAUCAAAGUUCAUUGUGACCAGAUGCUGAACACCAUUAAUGCUAACAGCCAGGGGCAGGAGCACCCUCACGAACAGGGAAAGAACAGGCUAAAGAAUAACGCCAAGGAUUCAAGUCAGCUGGGCCUGAUGCAGUUCACUCUCGGGCAGGGCUCCCAAAUCGUGGGCUGUAGCCCAAAGAUGGGCCAUGACGUAGUCCUGGCUGGUCCACUGGCAGGGGUGAAGAUGGGGGGGAAUGUGAAAGGGCAUUGCCCCCCCCCGCAAACUGCAUCUUUCCAGUCCCCUCCUGACCAUGGCCCUUCAGUGCUUCCCCAGGACACAAGGCCCUGUCUAAUUGGCCUUCCUGACAGAGCCUGCGUGGAGAGCGUGCGUAGGGGGGAGUUUGGGGGGCAGGUUUGGAAAGAGGGAUGUUUUCAGGGGGAGGGAAGCUGGGAGCCUCUGAGGUGCAGCUGGAAGGUUUCCUCCUCCCUCCUCAGCAUCUGGGGUGCAGACAGGGGGGGAGGGGGUUGCUAUUUUGCAGUUGGGAGUAUCAGGGACCCCUCCCCCCCAUGCACUAAGCUGUCCCCUCCAUCUCGGUUGCUGGUGGUGACGUGGGGGUGUGCUGUUUUGCAGUGGGGGAGCGGGGGAUCCCCCUGCCCAGGGCACUGACCUCUCCCCUUCCCGCCUCCCAUCUCCACUGUCCGUGCUGGGAGCCACCCCCACCCACCACUCUGCCCAUUGCAGGCUGCGCUUGGUGCCCUCCCGAGCCACCUAUCCCUCGCCAGGCUGGAGCAUGACGCUGCAAGCGGGGACAUCCUCAGCCUGUCCCGGGCAGCCAGCUCGCUCAGCCGUUUUGCUGACUGGGGGGCUCCCUGCCAAACCCAGGGUUCCCCUGCACCAUUCCCCCCAACUUGGGGUCCCACCCACACCCCAACUCCCCCCUGAACAUGGCUACCCCUCCCCUUCCAAAACAACCUGAACUCUUCAUACGCCACAGCCCACCCCCGCCCCUCCCCAUGAGCCACCUGGCAGCAGUGCCCUCCAUCGGACCAAACUGCUCUCCAUGUCUCCCUCCCACCCCCACCCCCCAGGGCCAGGCUGGGGCUCUCUGGGGCUGGACCCCGGCUGUGACUGGGGUUUCAGCACUCCUGCUUCACAGAUGUAUACAGAGCACUGUAUAACCAGAGUUGUCAUAACUAUAAAGGGAAGGGUAACAGCUCUCCUGUGUACAGUACUAUAAAAUCCCUCCUGGCCAGAGACUCCAAAAUCCUUUUACCUGUAAAGGGUUAAGAAGCUCGGAUAAGCUGUCUGACACCUGACCCAAAGGACCAAUAAGGGGACAAGAUACUUUCAGAUCUUGGUAGGGGGGAAGGCUUUUGUUUGUGCUCUUUGUUUGGGAAGUCAUUCACUCUUGGGACUGAGAGGGACCAAACAUCAAUCCAGGUUCUCCACAUCUUUCUGAACAAGUCUCUCAGAUUUCAAACAUGUAAGUAAACAGCCAGGCAAGGCGUGUUAGUUUUUACUUUGUUUUCUCAACAUGUAAAUGUACCUUUUACUAGAGUGUUUACCUCUGUUUGCUGUACUUUGAAUCCGAUUUCUAACGCAGUGUUUUGCUCUGGCCUAUUGCUCUUUAAGUUUGAUUACCCUGUAAAGUUAUUUUCCAUCCUGAUUUUACAGAGAUGUUUUUUACCUUUUUUCUUUAAUUAAAAGCCUUCUUUUUAAGAA
This is a long non-coding RNA of Malaclemys terrapin pileata, 3894 nucleotides long. RefSeq lists it as uncharacterized. NCBI's taxonomy places the organism in Eukaryota, Metazoa, Chordata, Testudines, Emydidae. The transcript has 3 exons. The record is from RefSeq and is a predicted model, not a curated record.